UACAGAGGGGGCCAGCGUUAUUCGGAAUUAUUGGGCGUAAAGGGCGCGUAGGCGGCCAUGCGUGUCUUCCGUGAAAUCCCUCGGCUUAACCGAGGACGUGCGGAAGAAACUGCAAGGCUCGAGUCCGGAAGAGGGGGGCGGAAUUCCCAGUGUAGCGGUGAAAUGCGUAGAUAUUGGGAGGAACACCAGUGGCGAAGGCGGUCCCCUGGGCCGGAACUGACGCUGAGGAGCGAAAGCCAGGGGAGCAAACGGG
Molecule: ribosomal RNA, 253 nt
Filed under: uncultured bacterium
Lineage: Bacteria
Description: partial 16S ribosomal RNA
Rfam family: Bacterial small subunit ribosomal RNA
Source: RNAcentral